Pelobates cultripes (western spadefoot toad) is the source of this 203-nucleotide non-coding RNA. The record is from the annotation of a GenBank genome assembly. Lineage: Eukaryota; Metazoa; Chordata; Amphibia; Anura; Pelobatidae.
CACGGGUCCCAGUGGAACCAGGAGUCUCUUUUCCCUCAGGCUGUGGCAGUACGCAUUGGGGUGGGUGUGUAUUGGAUCAGUGUGUGCCCCAUGAAUGUGCCUGGAAUGAGUAAUUGCUUCUUUCUGGAGUGUGAGACAUAUACACAGAGCCACGCAAGAAACACACACACAUAUUAAAAAUGGCUUCCUGAAAACAAACACAG